RNAcentral lists this unclassified non-coding RNA (1715 nucleotides) under uncultured Spizellomycetales. RNAcentral's name for it is "sequence contains 18S rRNA gene, ITS1, 5.8S rRNA gene, ITS2, 28S rRNA gene". The stretch from base 657 to 1715 matches the Rfam family "Eukaryotic large subunit ribosomal RNA", at positions 1 to 961 of the family's 3401-position model. Lineage: Eukaryota; Fungi; Chytridiomycota; Chytridiomycetes; Spizellomycetales. The record is from RNAcentral.
GGUUGGAUCAUUACCGUAUUUGCUGCCGCCGGUACACAUUUACCAGCGGUCAGUCAAUCCACUCGCCUCGGCGAACCAACCUUGUGUGAAUUGUGAUGUCUCUGGCGGUGGGAUGUGAGGCGGGUGUCCAAGCCAGCCGCAUCUGUCAGCUUGAUGGUCCUCAACCAUGAAGCCGUGGACAUGCCGCCAACCACUUGUGUAAAACAUUUGAACCAAAAAUUGCAGUCUUAUUUCCACACUAUAUGUGAAAUGCACAAACAACUUUUGGCAACGGAUCUCUUGGCUCUCGCAACGAUGAAGAACGCAGCGAAAUGCGAUAAGUAAUGUGAAUUGCAGAACACAGUGAAUCAUCAAAUCUUUGAACGCACAUUGCGCUCCCUGGUAUUCCGGGGAGCAUGCCCGUUUCAGAAUCAUUGAACCAAGUCCCCCGGGCUCUUGUGUCUCUCCUUUUUGAGAUCGAGAUGCCGCUGGGUGGGAGGUUGGGCCCUUUGCGUGGGCAGUCAUGCAAAUUGCCUCAAACUGAUGGCGUGUGUGCCCAGCUCCUGUCGGGGUUGGCUCUCAAGGUGCAACAGACAAUGUUUCACAUUGAAGCUGCCGGGAGGAGGUGGUGCGCGGCGCACAACUCCAAUACUGCUGGGGGUAAAACCCGCAAAACUUGAUCUGAAAUCGGGCAAGAAAACCCGCUGAACUUAAGCAUAUCAAUAAGCGGAGGAAAAGAAACUAACAAGGAUUCCCCUAGUAACGGCGAGUGAAGCGGGAAUAGCUCAAAUUUGAAAUCCCACAGGGUGCCCCUGUGUGAAUUGUAGUUUAGAGAAGCGUUUUCGGGGGUGACUUGGGUACAAGUCCUCUGGAAUGGGCGGCGAACAGCAUCAUAGAGGGUGACAAUCCCGUAUAUGAUCCAACGUUCACUCCUGUGUGAUACGCUUUCCAAGAGUCAGGUAGUUUGGGAUUGCUGCCUAAAAUGGGUGGUAAAUACCAUCUAAAGCUAAAUAUUGGCGAGAUACCGAUAGCGAACAAGUACCGUGAGGGAAAGAUGAAAAGAACUUUGAAAAGAGAGUUAAACAGUACGUGAAAUUGCCAAAAGGGAAACGCUUGGUGUCAGUAUUAGCUUGCAGGUAAUCAGCCGUGCUUCCCGAAAGGGACCGGUGCGGUGCACUUGCGUGCAGGCAAGUCAACAUCAGUUUGGUCUCUGGUAAAAAGCUGGAGGAAGGUAGCUUGGCGUUUCGGCGGCAAGUGUUAUAGCCUCUAGCCAUGCCUGGGACUGGACUGAGGUCUGCAGCGUUCCGUUGGGUUACUGAUCGCCUCUUGAACAUUGCCUCCAGACAGCUCGCUGACUGGGGGCAGGGCUAGGGAGCCCGGUCAGCUCACCACACCAGCGCUUAGGAUGUUGACGAAAUGGCGCCAAACGACCCGUCUUGAAACACGGACCAAGGAGUCUAACAUAUAUGCGAGUAUUUGGGUGGCAAACCCUUAUGCGAAAUGAAAGUGAACUUAGGUGGGAUCUUCGGUGCACCAUCGACCGGUCUGGAUUUUUUUGAUAGAUCUGAGUAAGAGCAUAUCUGUUGGGACCCGAAAGAUGGUGAACUAUGCCUGAAUAGGGUGAAGCCAGAGGAAACUCUGGUGGAGGCUCGUAGCGAUUCUGACGUGCAAAUCGAUCGUCAAAUUUGGGUAUAGGGGCGAAAGACUAAUCGAACCAUCUAGUAGCUGGUUCCCUC